This 1856-nucleotide unclassified non-coding RNA is filed under the name Hevea brasiliensis (rubber tree). The record is from RNAcentral. Lineage: Eukaryota; Viridiplantae; Streptophyta; Magnoliopsida; Malpighiales; Euphorbiaceae.
AGGAAAAAGGAAAAAGGAAAAAGAGGGAGAGUGAGAUAGGAAUUUAAUAAGAGAUCAUCAUCUUCAUAAAUCUAACAUGGGUCACCAUUCUUGCUGCAAUCAACAGAAGGUUAAGAGAGGCCUUUGGUCGCCUGAGGAAGAUGAAAAGCUCAUUAGGUACAUCACCACCCAUGGUUAUGGCUGUUGGAGUGAAGUCCCAGAGAAAGCUGGUUUCCCCUCUCUCUCCCUCUCUCUCUCCGCCUCACUUUUAACCUUCUUUUUUUCUUUUGUUAAUUGAAGUGUAUAAUUUAUUGAACUUGCUAUAUUAUUAUCUUUUUCAUGAACAAUUUUAGGGCUUCAAAGAUGUGGCAAAAGCUGUCGUUUGAGAUGGAUUAAUUAUUUGAGGCCUGAUAUUAGAAGAGGAAGGUUUACACCUGAGGAGGAGAAGUUGAUUAUUAACCUUCAUGGAGUUGUUGGGAACAGGUUUAAUUUCUUAUGUAUACUCUAAUUAAUUAAACUGCAUUCCACAUUUUAACUACAUAAGUUGUAAAUUAACUCAAAUUUAAAUUAACUCAAAUUUCUCAUAUAUAUACACCAUCUGGGUAUCUUUAGAAUCUAGGGUUCUUCAUUUUUCCCAAUAUAAUAUAAAAUAACAUUUAAAGUUUUCAAUAGAAUCACAUGUGACUUGUUUCUUAACUUGGGGAUAUUUUUUUCCUUUGUUGGAUGGAGGGGAUCGAAAGUUGCUUGCAAUCAGACCUCGUAUAGUGAAAGUUGGUAUCUUCUUGAAUUUUCUAAAAGCAAACUUCAAAAUUAAGUCUGGCAUGUGUUUCUCUGAUUUAAUUUUCUUUUAAAUAUUCACAAGAAGCAACCCCCAUUUUAGAAAACAGUUCCUUAAGUAGCUGUCAACUGUAUCUUAGCAGACGUUAAGAAGGCAAUAUCAGAGGUUGUAAAACACAUUUUCACCGGAAAAAUACAUGUCUACACAUAUGGAACCUCAUCACCUUCCUUGUCACUUGAAGAUCACUGCUUCUCUGAUAAAUUUAUCUCUUCCUUCUUGAGAUCUAUGUGCUAAUAAGCAUAUACAUGCAUGUGGAAUCGCAGAUGGGCUCACAUAGCAAGUCACUUGCCUGGAAGAACAGACAAUGAGAUAAAGAACUAUUGGAAUUCAUGGAUCAAAAAGAAGAUACGAAAACCUUCAGCACCUACAACCACAGUUGCUGCAACCAGUAGCGGUACUGAUCAUUCACAUAUAACUUAUGGUUCAAACCAACUAGAUUUAGUGCACCAAGAUUUGACAACAAGGCCUCAGGUUCAAGAAACCCUAUUUUCAUCUUCAGCUCCCUUAUUUAUGUUUGACACUGGUACUAAUCCACUUGAUGGAAUUGCGGAUAGUAGUGUACGAGGGGAGCUUUUUCAUGAGCAUGCGAGCUUGAACACUGAAACUUGGAAUACAAACCAACACCAUCAUCACCAAGUCCAAGCCCUACCCCCACAGGCUACAUUUAGUAUUGGAAUGGAUACUAAUUACUUGCCACCAUUGAUUGAGAAUAUGGAGCACAUGGUGCCCAUGGAAAUGCAAUCUUGCAGCAUGGAUGAUGAAGGAGAGAUAGCAUUGGGGUGCUUACAGAGGCAAGAACUCAAUGAAUGGGUCGAAUCCCAACAAUGUUCAAACUUUCUGUUUUGGGAUAAUGUUGAUGGACCACUUAGUGGAGAAGAAAUUGCACCAACUUCAUCAAGUAUGGGAGCUACACUCUCCUCCUUCCCUUCAUCUCUAUGACUAUAAGAUUUUAUUUAUGAAUAUGCGUCUCUCCCCCUACUGAUCUUUUUCUAUAGAGCUUUCAAAAAUGGUUCAGGCUUUUGAAGACAGUUUGUUAAUU